AGUGAACGCUGGCGGUAGGCCUAACACAUGCAAGUCGAACGGCAGCACAGUAAGAGCUUGCUCUUACGGGUGGCGAGUGGCGGACGGGUGAGGAAUACAUCGGAAUCUACUUUUUCGUGGGGGAUAACGUAGGGAAACUUACGCUAAUACCGCAUACGACCUACGGGUGAAAGCAGGGGAUCUUCGGACCUUGCGCGAUUGAAUGAGCCGAUGUCGGAUUAGCUAGUUGGCGGGGUAAAGGCCCACCAAGGCGACGAUCCGUAGCUGGUCUGAGAGGAUGAUCGGCCAAACGGGAGAUGGGACACGGUCCAGACCCUGACGGGAGGCAGCGGUGGGAAUUAUUGGAAAAGGGGCGGAAGCCUAUUCCAGCCAAACGGCGUGGGUGAAGAAGGCCUUCGGGUGGUAAAGCCCUUUUGUUGGGAAAGAAAAGCACCAGGUUAAUACCCCGCUGUUCUGAGGGUACCCAAGAAUAAGCACCGGCUAACUUCGUG
This 491-nucleotide ribosomal RNA is filed under the name uncultured bacterium. Its description in RNAcentral is "partial 16S ribosomal RNA". It matches the Rfam family "Bacterial small subunit ribosomal RNA", at positions 29 to 507 of the family's 1533-position model. The record is from RNAcentral.